GCGCCAGUAGCUCAGCUGGAUAGAGCGUCUGACUACGGAUCAGAAGGUCGGGAGUUCGAAUCUUCCCUGGCGCGCCA
This 77-nucleotide transfer RNA is filed under the name Desulfuromonas acetoxidans. RNAcentral describes it as "tRNA-Arg". It matches the Rfam family "tRNA". From Rfam's summary of the family: Transfer RNA (tRNA) molecules are approximately 80 nucleotides in length. Their secondary structure includes four short double-helical elements and three loops (D, anti-codon, and T loops). Lineage: Bacteria; Pseudomonadati; Thermodesulfobacteriota; Desulfuromonadia; Desulfuromonadales; Desulfuromonadaceae. The record is from RNAcentral. RNAcentral also lists the same sequence under 5 other names.